This is a non-coding RNA of Zootermopsis nevadensis, 1367 nucleotides long. The record is from RefSeq and is a predicted model, not a curated record. NCBI's taxonomy places the organism in Eukaryota, Metazoa, Arthropoda, Insecta, Blattodea, Termopsidae.
AGGGACAUCUAGAGCAUUUCCCUGUCACCACGUCCAGACAUUCUAGGGACACAUCGACUGUACCAGACUUCCUUAAAAUAGUUGAGGUUUACGUAGACGCCAGCCAAUCGCUUCGGUAAGAAUAUGAGGUUGAGUCUGACUGAAUUUUUUUUUUUUGGGGGGUUAUUUAACGACGUCGUCUCAACCACGGAGGUUAGAUUAACAGGAUACGGACUCGUAAGGAGUUGAUCGUGGAUUGCAAAAACGGAAGAUAGAAAAAUAAAUAAAUCACGUAAGGAUGUCAGCUGAGAGGUUCGAUCCCCGGACCAGCCGCGUGCAAUUCUGGAAGAUUCACACCAGAUCCAACGAACCAGCCCUCCAACUGUUCUUAAAGACAGAAGACACUAAAGAGGCUGUUGGUACAUUUGACAUACCCCGUUCUUCCUCUACGCACAGUGUCUCAUAAUCCGACUAAUUACUACGACCAAUAUGGAUUUCGUCUGUGCUGUGGAUGUUGAAACCAGGAUCUGACCUCUUGAUAUAACGAGCGUCUCUCUCAGAUGACCAGAAUGCCCCCUGUAUCUCCGCCAGAUUCAUUCUACAUCUCAAACAGCUGCCGACCUGCAGCAAAAUCGAUUCAGGAAAUAACAGCAAAACAAAUGAAUAACGUUACAACAAUGGCGAGAGACAUUUCCGGAGCAUCGUGGGACGGCGUUGGAGUUUGUGAUUGUUGUGAAAAGAAAACUGCUUGAUUGUCGUAUCCGUGCAGGCUUACAGUGAGAAACGAAAUCGAUUUGAAAAUUUAACAUUCAAAUUUUUUUUUUUCUCUUAGUACGAAGUUCGAAUUUUAAAAAUCCUCGUGAAAGAUAUUUCAUUGUUACCAACUUCUUUGUCGAUUAUUUUUUCUGCUAAAAAUAAUUAUAACAAUUUUUCUGUCUGGUCUUCAGGACAAUUUAAACGUUGUACUCAAUUAAAAAUCAAAAUUAUAAUCAUAAAUUGAGUUUUAAGUGUAAUGAAGGCAUCCAGUUAUGUUCUGAAGAAACAUUUCCCUCCAGGAGAAUUCUACGAAAAUUUCCAGCCCGGAAUUUUGGAAACGAACUGCUUUGUAUCUGCCCCGAAGUAAUAACAAACGAAAUUAGAUUUGCAGUCAAUGUUUUCCGACCGGACGACGACUGAAAAUCCUUUAAACAACUCGACAAGCAGGACUGUGUUGACGGUAACAUCACAGCGUUCGAACGCCAAUAUUUACGGUUGAUGUUUUCAUAACGGAUAGUAGCGGAAAUCAAAGAUUUGUUUUUGUGUGUGUGGAUGAAGAAGGUGGCGGAGUGGAUCAAGGCUUACUGGAACAGCUAACACCAGUCGUAUAGGACGCCACUUCAUGGACGGUC